CCUACGGGUGGCAGCAGUAGGGAAUAUUGCUCAAUGGGGGAAACCCUGAAGCAGCAACGCCGCGUGAAGGAUGAAGGUUUUCGGAUUGUUAACCCCUUUUGUUAGAGAAGAUAAUGACGGUAUCUAACGAAUAAGCACCGGCUAACUCCGUGCCAGCAGCCGCGGUAAUACGGAGGGUGCAAGCGUUACUCGGAAUCACUGGGCGGAAAGAGCGCGUAGGCGGGAUAGCAAGUCAGAUGUGAAAUCCUAUGGCUUAACCAUAGAACUGCAUUUGAAACUGUUAUUCUAGAGUAUGGGAGAGGUAGGUGGAAUUCUUGGUGGAGGGGUAAAAUCCGUAGAGAUCAAGAGGAAUACGCAUUGCGAAGGCGACCUGCUAGAACAUAACUGACGCUGAUGCGCGAAAGCGUGGGGAGCAAACAGGAUUAGAUACCCGGGUAGUC
Molecule: ribosomal RNA, 440 nt
Filed under: uncultured bacterium
Lineage: Bacteria
Description: partial 16S ribosomal RNA
Rfam family: Bacterial small subunit ribosomal RNA
Source: RNAcentral